GAUGAACGCUGGCGGCGUGCCUAAUACAUGCCAGUAGAACGCUGAAGGAGGAGCUUGCUCUUCUGGAUGAGUUGCGAACGGGUGAGUAACGCGUAGGUAACCUGCCUGGUAGCGGGGGAUAACUAUUGGAAACGAUAGCUAAUACCGCAUGACAACAGUUAUUGCAUGAUAACUGUUUAAAAGGGGCAACUGCUCCACUACCAGAUGGACCUGCGUUGUAUUAGCUAGUUGGUGAGGUAACGGCUCACCAAGGCGACGAUACAUAGCCGACCUGAGAGGGUGAUCGGCCACACUGGGACUGAGACACGGCCCAGACUCCUACGGGAGGCAGCAGUAGGGAAUCUUCGGCAAUGGACGGAAGGCUGACCGAGCAACGCCGCGGGAGGGAAGAAGGUUUUCGGAUCGUAAAGCUCGGUUGUAAGAGAAGAACGAGGGUGAGAGUGGAAAGUUCACACUGUGACGGUAUCUUACCAGAAAGGGACGGCCAACUACGUG
RNAcentral lists this ribosomal RNA (495 nucleotides) under uncultured bacterium. RNAcentral describes it as "partial 16S ribosomal RNA". It matches the Rfam family "Bacterial small subunit ribosomal RNA", at positions 28 to 507 of the family's 1533-position model. The record is from RNAcentral.